ACGAACGCUGGCGGCAUGCCUAACACAUGCAAGUCGAACGAGACCUUCGGGUCUAGUGGCGCACGGGUGCGUAACGCGUGGGAACCUGCCCUUAGGUUCGGAAUAACUCCCCGAAAGGGGUGCUAAUACCGGAUAAUGUCUUCGGACCAAAGAUUUAUCGCCUUUGGAUGGGCCCGCGUUGGAUUAGCUAGUUGGUAGGGUAAAAGCCUACCAAGGCGACGAUCCAUAGCUGGUCUGAGAGGAUGAUCAGCCACACUGGGACUGAGACACGGCCCAGACUCCUACGGGAGGCAGCAGCGGGGAAUAUUGGACAAUGGGCGAAAGCCUGAUCCAGCAAUGCCGCGUGAGUGAUGAAGGCCUUAGGGUUGUAAAGCUCUUUUACCCGGGAUGAUAAUGACAGUACCGGGAGAAUAAGCUCCGGCUAACUCCGUG
RNAcentral lists this ribosomal RNA (432 nucleotides) under uncultured bacterium. RNAcentral's name for it is "partial 16S ribosomal RNA". It matches the Rfam family "Bacterial small subunit ribosomal RNA", at positions 29 to 507 of the family's 1533-position model. The record is from RNAcentral.